This is a long non-coding RNA of Monomorium pharaonis (pharaoh ant), 7668 nucleotides long. RefSeq lists it as uncharacterized. The record is from RefSeq and is a predicted model, not a curated record. The transcript is spliced from 2 exons. Lineage: Eukaryota; Metazoa; Arthropoda; Insecta; Hymenoptera; Formicidae.
CAAGACACGAUCGUUUACGGAACGAGAGAGAGAUAGAGGAUGCGAGUGGCGCGUGCAUUCCGAUCUGCAUCUCAAAUGAUCCGAUCGUCAUCCUGCGCUUACAUUCUAAUGAAAUGUUGUACGCGCGUUCGCCCGUAAUGACGCGUUUCUCGGAGUUUCGCGGAGUGGAGGAAAGGGGAUGCGACCGCGGAAAAAUCGGCGUGUGCGUGCGAUCGAGCGCAAUCGGCGACCGAGAGAGUGAAUUGCCGAUGAGGCGGAUAAUGACGGGCGCGCGGAUGGACGGACGGACGGACGAUCCGGGAUCGUGCGGGCGCCUUCGGGAGAAGAAGCCACGGCGACGUGGAAGGUGCGCGGCGGGCCGCCGCGCGUUCGACCGCGCGGCGGCCACCGGCUCUCUCGUUUGAUGCGCCACGAAUGAAAGAUAAUCGCCGCGCUCCGGGCGACGAAGGCGUCCACGCUCGGCGAGCGAGGCACACGCUCCGGCCACGCUCCGUCAUCCCCACCCGCGCCUUCGGGCACCUUCGCAGCGUUCGUUCGUUUGAUGGCCUUGUUUGGCAGCGAGAACGAAGUAACGCGAUCGAUGAAAUCAGAUUCUUCGGCCUUUUUGUGUGAUUCACUUUACGCGCCAGUGGGACAUCGCUGAUUCAGCAGAUCGGUGAGUCAAGUACAUUUCAUAUACAAUUCUUUACUGGAUCAGCUCUGCCUUUCGAUAAGAAAUUUAUCUUAUCGAUGCGCAAAUUUUGCCGUAAGUCCCGCUUAAGAAAUUCAAGCUGUGCGUUAUGAAAACUAAUUUGAUCGCGGCUGCACGAGUCACUUUCCGGUAACGCACUUGGGCUGUUAGGGCGCUCAUUACCCCUGCGCUAAUAUACGGUCUCUUGAUUUUAAUGUCCCUGCCCGUUGGUAACUUUACGAUUUCUUCGUUUUCGUCGGACUUUAUGCGUGUUACGGGUGCGUCGUUGUCUUACCGGUUCGUUAGCGACAGGUUCCACCUUGCGUCUUUUCGCCCGCGAAAGAGAAAGAGGCGAAUUAUCUCGCUCGUCGCCACAUCUGCUUCUGUCUCAUUCGUUAAGAUUUCGCGCUGUACAACCGUCAUACCAUAGAUUUCAGCGAAUAUUUUCAUUACCUUUAUUAUCGUGCAUCUCGACUCGAGCAAAUAAUCGAAAACGCUCCAAGGCAAUUUCCUUGAAAUUUAUAUAGCAAUAUUAUAAAUCAAACAUGUGUUAUAGUAAAAGAAAAAAAAACUUUAAUGUUGCCGUCAAUAGAGUGAAAUUUUUUGUUUUCAGUGUGUGUGUGAGGUAAACAAAAAUUGUUUUAGAAAAAAAAUAUUUUAUCUGUAUAUUUGCCAUUUAUUAUUUACGAGAAUCUAUUGCUUUACGAUUUUGUUGAUUAACUGGAGUUUUUUUAUUGCUACGUUUAUAAAAUGAUGUGAUGCUUUUUUAAUAUUAAUUUAUAGCUAUUAAUUAUACAGGCCGCGUUCUUUAGCCAUCACGGUUUUAUAUAUGCAAGAAUUUUAUGGCACGAAAGAUUACGUUGAGAAUAUUCCGGCGAAACAACAAACUCCGUUAUGUUUACGUGUUUUGGUUGUAACAUGCGCGUUUUUUUUUUUUGCGCGUGCAGCCGCCUCGAGGAGAUUACGCGAGUCCUCAUUUCGCCACGCGCGGUUUCGAGGAAUAUUUUACUCCCUACCUUAAUCUCGGCAAGUCACGUUUUACCACCAUUUACCCGCGUGAUUUCAUACGCAAUUUUUCGUUCGCUCGAAGGCAAACAUAUCGGAAUCUCAAUUCGAUACGCGAUAAAUCGCCCUCUUCAUUUCGCAUGUAUAAACAAGGAUGACAUUCGAUAUCGCGAUGUCAAUUAACAGGACAAAGGCCGGAUAAUUGCGAGUAACUCGCGAGAAGGAGCCAGAGAGUAUCUCGCCGUUACGUUGUGACGCUGGCGCCCGAUCGAGACGUUUCUUCUUCUUUUUUUUUUUUUUCGCGAAGAGAUUUACUGCACGCCACGGUGGACGAACCCGUGCAGGAGAAACCCGGCGGCCACAACGUGCGUGUCCAGCCUCUACGGGGCGACCCGGUCGUUACGACUUCACGCUGACUUUUGCACGCACAAACUUGCGGGGCCACGAGCGUUCGUGCAAAUGAAACGUGCAACGCCACAAGUCGCCUCGCUCGGGCGAGGCGGAGAAGGAGAGCAGGCAGGCAGGCAGGCAGGCGGCAAAACGGAGCGAGUACGAGUUGCCUCGAGCUGAUCCAGUAAAAUUGCGUAGGCAGAUUACUCGAGUUGUUACCCCUGCCCAUUACUCGCGCGCGCGUAGCACUUCGAACGGUCGACCGACCAGAAAUCAAGGCUCGAUCGCGAGAUUCCUCGGCUUUCACUCGGCGUCCCUGGACGAUAGUAAUUUCUUUCCGAUCGGUUCCCCCGUUCGAGGGCACCGAAUAUUUUGAUUACCGUACGCCCCGUUCCCCGUAAUGAAACGUUUGCGAUCGCGCGAUGUGAACAAGUUUGCGCGAGGAAUGCUCGAGGAAUGCUCGUUACACGAUGUUGGGUAUAAUCAGUUUGUUAUUUUUCAACAUUUCUCUCUUAUCGAGAGUGCAGAUGAUACGGUUACCGUGAUAAACGUGAUUAACGAGCUGAUAUUUUUGCAAUCGUACAACUGCUUUUCAGUCGAACGUUUUUAUUGCCAGGCUGUUGUUGGGAGAGACAGCGGCGCGGCCCAACCGCGAGUUGUUGCUUGCCCGUCGGUCUUGCAUGCGUUUCGUAACGCACCGCACGCUCUCGCUCGCCCGCAAAUCCCCCGAAAAUAUCGCAACUCACGUUUCAGGAAAACGUGAUCGAGAAACGCGCGCUUUCUCCCAACAGGUGGUCCCAGCUUUGCAAAGCGCGGCUGCGACGGCUUUCCCGGGUUUGCCCCUCGACACGGGGGUCCAUACCGCUCCGAGAGACUUUUAUCCUUUGUAAUCUCGGCGAGGCGGCAUCCUCCGGGAUUAAGAGUAGGCUCCGGUCGAGAUCGUGCUGACGCCGGGCACGCGCUGCAUGCUGCGAAAUAACGGUACCGGAGCACCGCUCGGACCGCCCGUCCGAGAUUUUAAAUCUCUCCUUCCCCCCUUCCCCCCCCCACCCCCCGCUACGUUGGCAUAACCGCGCGCCGUAUGGCGACCAGCAAAAGCGGAAAGAGACGAGGGAGGAAUUCCGCCGCGCCUCCUCGGAACAGAUUGUCAUCUGCAGGUGGACCAGCGCGGCAUGACGCUGGUGAAAAAGUGGCGCGGCGGUUAAUCGCCGCGGCGAAUUCGCGGAAGAAGUCGCACGAUCUCGAGAGAAAAUCUCGGGUUAGCGAAGAUUGCUCUUGAACAAAAGCGGCAUGGAUGCUUCUUAGGUGGAUUUUAGCUGGCUUCUGCAUAGGAAUUUUACAUUCCUUCUGACAUUCUCGGUUUUCGCAGCUUUUUUGAAACUUUCGAAAUUCUUUUCGUCAAAUUUGUUUAGAACGUGGAAAGAUGAGGGAAAGAAGAUUUCUUGUGUUUAUUGUGCUUUCGCGGAUCACAAGUAGAACUGAUGUACAAAUGCUUCACCCAUCAUUAAAUUUUUGAACCAAGUUAAACAUUUUAAUGACCAUCUUAUCGAUAAAGUUUUAUAAUAAGUACUCUGCCACCUAUUUCAUACGCAGAUAAUAAAACUUAACGAAGAGUUUACAAUCUUGUUAAUUAAAAAUUACCACGUAUAAAUAAUUUUCGUUUCAGACUUUUUUUUAAUACUCGUGCGAUAACUCAAGUGAUGAGGAACAAACAGGUUGCGCGCCCGUAUAAUGUCCCGCGGCGAAAAUUUCGCUUAAUUUACGAGAAAUUGCAUGUUUUCUUUUUUAAUUAGCGGCCUUACGCAAGCGUCAAUGCGUGUCAUUCGCGAUAAUUAAACGUAAUUGCCGAAUUACACUGUUGAUCAGCGCCGAUUUAAAGGACACGUGUUUAAUUGCGAUCCAGGUGCUGCUACAGCGUUUUAUUGCAGAAGAAUCGUUGAUUUUUUUUUUCAAAAUUAUUUAAUGGUUUAUUUUUAUGGCUCAUAACUAUUUGUGCAUAAAUUAAUCUAUAAAUUAGUUUAACUAAUUUAAAUAUUGACUGAAAAAAUAACUUAAUAAAAUGUAAAUUAUAUAAAUAAUUCCAACUUGGAGUUAUCUGGUUAAUUCUUGAAGUGAAGUUUUUUGAUUUCUAUUGAAAAGUUUAGACCCGUAAAGCCGCUGCGUGUUUCGACCCACUUUGGGCUCGAUAAAUCUUGACCGCAUUGUGGGAUCUGCCUGCCAGGGCGCGACGAACGGUGUAUCUUGAUGGGUGCAAUUAUCCAAGGACGAACGAGGAAGCGGCAGGUGAUCCUUGCCCGUAGAAGGUAUUAGCAGAUAUACCGAUUUCGUCAGGCCUGUCUCGAGACCGGUAAAAACCUAAACUAGCAAAUGCCUAGGAUCUUAGGAUGUCGGCCGACGUUUGUACCUCUCGCCGAUCCAUCUGCGCCAUUUUCGGCAGGUGAAACGGAAUAUCGCGAAAUGCGAGAGGAGAAAAAGGAUUCGGCCAUUCGUAGUCGACGGACCGAGACGAAUUUCGCGGCGAGACUCUCUAGCGGGGGUUUCGUCCAAACCGCAGGUCCAGGUCAAUAUAUUUUUUUGGCGUUUGAUAGGUUUAAAUAGAGGAAUAGGAUAGAGGUGGUUUUGGCAAUUUCGCCGAAAUGCUAAUCUCACGCGAAAAUGAUCGAAAAGGUAAACUAGUAAUUUUUAUAUUUAUUUUAACGUCUUCGUUCUUUUUCACGUUUCGUAUUUUAGACGUCGAACGUAGCGCACGAAAUGCAUUCGUAUUUAUAUCCAUGAUAAAAAAAUAAUAAGGAUGGAUGAGGAAAUCGGUUAUAAAUUGGUUACAUUAUAAUUGUGUGUAUGUGCGCGCGCGCGUGUGUGUAAGUGUGUGUAUGACAGAUGAAUAACAUGUAGCAUCGAGUGUCAAAUAAAUAUUAUCACGAGCAUUCACGUUAAUUCGUGCCGCUGCCACUUUAUCAGCAUGCUUUACGAGCUCACCGCCGACUGGACUAGUUACACUAGUCGGUUUGUUCCUAUCGCAUGUGGAACUGGAGCAGGUACACGCUCAGUCGCGAAUGCUUUAUAUAUUAUAGCGGCAAGUGCCCCAUUAAGGAUAAUUCUUGAAACUAGCUCUCUGCAUACUCUCGCGUUGUUGCGUGCCCGCGAUCCUCCCAUUAUUGGCGGAUCGUCCGCGGGACGUUAAAUGAAUCAGCAGCCAACGACCGUUUGACGUUUCGUAUCCGCGUCUCUGGCAGACCCGACGGGGAUUUCGCGGGGAUUACGUCUCUCGGCCCUCGGGGUACCAAUUUUAGCUCUUUACGCGCCCCGGUGUCAUUAUACGGAAUACAUUGCGCCGCGCGAAAUCUUAAUUGGCAAUUACGAUAAUGCGGCUGCUCUAAUUUGUUGCAAAUUGCUUCGAGGUUACUGAGAGACCGAUCUAUUUCGAACACUUCAACAGGCCUGCCAUUUAUCUCUCGCAACAAAAAUCGCACGUACACGUAUCAGCUGCACAUUUGAUACAUCAGCAAUUUAUUUCCUUUCUUUUUCUUUUUUCAAUUAUUUAAUUUUGUUUCACUCUACCUCGGAAUCGUCUGAAGUGAAAUUGUCUAAAAUGUUUUCAUGCGAUGCGCUCGCGAGUACGAAUCAUGAAAGCGCAGGUACUACACAGCCGGAACAUUUGUGAGAAUCACGCUGUAAUGGGACGACAAAGAGGCACGUCAGAAUAAUUGCCGUUCUUGCCUCUUACAUUGCCCUACCUUUCAUCCGCUAUCGGGCGGAUCGCCGCGCGUGAAUACUUUGUAAGUGGUCUGUGGCGGAAUUAAAGGAGACUCGCGUUAGUACCAAUAAUUUACACGCUGUGCGGGUCUCUUUACGGCGGGUGCGACGAGGAAAAAAAAACGAGAGGAACGACGGCGCGCAAUCUCUCUUAACGUUCAGUUACAAAUUACAUUACCUUGGCAAAUGGGCUAUUACGCGAAUUCUCAAUCUAGUUCCGCGUCUCAAUUAUUUGCACGGGCAGGUUCGCGGCUUCUGGAAGGUUGUUCCCCGACCGGGCGAAUAUAAACGCCUUUCAAUCUGUUUGCACUUUUCUUACGGGCGCAUCAUGGAUAGCCGCCUUUUUAAUUUUACGUAAUCAACGUGACGGUGCAAUCUCGCGACGAUGCAGCGGACGUUUCGCUGUCUGCGGAGAAGGCAUUUCAAUAACAAUCGCGAGAAAAAGUCCUCGCGGCUCUCUCGCCUUCCUCUCCUUCGAUUUCUUUCCUUCUUUCUUUUUGUUUCUUCGUCAGGUGACGAUAGUCACCGCGUGACUGUCUCAAAAUGAAUCGUACCGUGAAAUCGCGAAGGAUUACGCUUGCAAUUUUUGAUUUGCAAAAUUGUUCACACUUUCUUUCCUUUCGGUUGACAAACGCAGAAACGCAGACUUUUUCGUUAUUUGAAAACUAUUCUAACACACACAGAUUGCAUUACGUCAGCAAAUAGUCCAUUACGUAGUUAUUGACUCCAGUUUGCGUGCGCGGACGCAUUUAUUAUAAAAGAUUAGCGGUAGCUCAAGGUUCUUUUCCCGGGAUUUUGUUACAUAAGUAUCAACGAGAAUAGAAUCAAAUACACAACCGUACUUAUUGUGCGUGAAAUUUUAAGAACAGAAUACUCCAAAUGUCUUCAAGAAACGUUAUAUUUUUGGUAUACAGAGUUUUCCGGAAAUAUAAGUAGAAUAUUACGCGCAUUGUAUACUCUGCAAAACGUUUAAGAAAAACAUACUAUACAUUAUUCAUUCGCGCUUAAAAUGAUUCGCUUCCGGAUUUUAUCGCGCGUAUUCUUAUUGAUCCUAAACAUGUUCUCGAGGCUACCUCCUUCGGUCUGUUCGUUCAUUCGUUCGUUCGUCCGUUCGUUCCGACGUCAAUUACGAUCGUGUUAAGUGUGCCAUUACGCAAUUAUAUUCUAAUGUACUUUUAUUACGCGCGGAUAGUCUGCUAACAUUCAAAACGUUUCGUUCGACGAUUUCUGCCUGGUCCCGCAGGCAAGCGAACUUUUUUUCAAUAUCUCGAACUCACACCUGCCGUCCGCCUGAUGAGUCUGAACUCUUAGCUGAGCCCUCAAGGACUAGGAAUAGUCACGACUUUUUUUGCACCGUCGGCCAAUACGUUUUGCAGGCUCCUGAGUGUCAUCUGCGCGGAAUCUUAAUUCAUUUCUAUCCGCCUUGUCGUCCGCCGGGGGACCGAAUGAUCGAACGGCGGUCGUGACUACCAUUUUUUUUCUCGCAACACGUUCUCUUUAGAAUUUACAUUGCUUUUAUUAUAAUAUUUCUCGUUUAUACGGAUUUUCUUCUGCGUGUGUGCGAUUUAAAGGGACGAGCCUUCUAUCUGAUGUAGUCAUUAUUGUGUAGAUUUGGGGUUUAUCAAAUUAUCAUUACUAUUAUAAAAUAUAAAGGAGACGUAGACUCACGUCGACCUUGCGUUUACACGAAAAAACGUCGGCAACAAUGACUGACGAUAAUCAUUUUCUUCAGACUGGACUGUCGAUUCUUGCCUGCAGACUGAUCGUUCGUCCCAAAAACAUUCCCUUUUUUUUCCAAGACCUUCCGAGGUUUCGUUGCAAAAGAUCGGCGAUAGAUUUAAUACGAAAAA